ACGGGUGAGUAAUGCGUAGGUAUCUAGCUUGUUGAUCGGGAUAGCCUAGGGAAACUUAGGGUAAUACCGGAUAAGCCCUAUGGGGGAAAGCAGGGGACCGAAAGGCCUUGCGCGAUGAGAUGAGCCUACGUCGGAUUAGCUAGUUGGUGGGGUAAAGGCCUACCAAGGCGACGAUCCGUAGCUGGUCUGAGAGGACGACCAGCCACACUGGGACUGAGACACGGCCCAGACUCCUACGGGAGGCAGCAGUGGGGAAUAUUGGACAAUGGGCGCAAGCCUGAUCCAGCAAUGCCGCGUGUGUGAAGAAGGCCCUCGGGUUGUAAAGCACUUUCAGUGGGGAGAAAGAGGCCAUUCCUAAUAUGGAUGGCGGAUGAUGUUACCCACAGAAGAAGCACCGGCUAACUCUGUGCCAGCAGCCGCGGUAAUACAGAGGGUGCGAGCGUUAAUCGGAAUUACUGGGCGUAAAGGGUGCGUAGGUGGUUCUAUAAGUUAGGUGUGAAAGUCCUGGGCUUAACCUGGGGAUUGUGCCUGAUACUGUAGAGCUAGAGUACUGUAGAGGAAAGUGGAAUUUCCGGUGUAGCGGU
RNAcentral lists this ribosomal RNA (584 nucleotides) under uncultured bacterium. Its description in RNAcentral is "bacterial SSU rRNA". It matches the Rfam family "Bacterial small subunit ribosomal RNA", at positions 102 to 682 of the family's 1533-position model. The record is from RNAcentral.